Molecule: long non-coding RNA, 1212 nt
Organism: Malus domestica (apple)
Lineage: Eukaryota; Viridiplantae; Streptophyta; Magnoliopsida; Rosales; Rosaceae
Source: RefSeq, a predicted model, not a curated record
UCUGAACGGGCACGAAAAUAAUUUCGUGAAAAGUUGAAUUUUUUGCGCGACAAAUAUAUUCUAUUCAUCGCGCCAGAUCAACGGGAUUUAAUUGAAAUCGCGAACACUUUCCCUCAGCUCUUCCUCUCUGUAAGCUCUCUCCCUCUGACAGCCCUCUCAUACAACUAAAUUUCUGUCAACCUCCCUCUCGGCCUCUCACCCUCUCGCCCCCUCGCACUCUCUCUUCCUCCUCCGACAACCCUCUAUCUCUCUGAGAUGUCGCAGCUUAUUAGAAGUCAUAAGGAGGUGAUGACUGCACCUUGUUUGAUUCCCCCGCCUCCUACUUCAGCCGCCACUGCCCUAGUAGAAAUGGACCCCAGGUAGUUAAUCCGAGUGAUCCGGUUGGUCCCCAGGUCUCCCAGGUGCCGGAGUCAUCAACCUCUUCAGUGGCGCUACUUGUUAGCGCCAGGCGUGGUCACCGUCACUGCUGAUGCCUCGGGGUCACAACAAGCAAAGAAAAAUACUCGGGGACCUUGUCGCUAGUUGAAGACAGUGAAGGUCACUCGAGUGACCAACGAACGUAUCACAAUUGGAUACAACGACCUGCAUCGGGCUACACCAACGGCGGAGCAGCAUAGCGCAUUGGCCCACGACAUUGGUCACGUCGUUCGAACCUAUUACCUUAUGCGAUGGAAGUCUUGGAUGGCGAUGCUAGACAAGGUGAGGACAAAGGUGCGUGAUUGUUUGUUGACGAAUUAAAAAUUCGACGACAUCAACAAUGAUAUGUUGGUGUAUGUCAACAGGCUCUUCGCUAAAUGCUAUAAGCAGUGGAAGAGCGACAUGCACCAAUAUUUUCAGACAUUUGAUGAUCCACAGGUUGCCCUUGAGGAGGGUUGCUCGAAGGAGUUCGAGGACCAAGAAGAAAAUUAGGUGUGGCUGUGCAGUCAUUUUCAGGAACUCGGCUAUGUGAAGAAGGCGAAAGACAACAAGAUUAAUAAGAAGAAGAAUCUUCUCCACCAUUCGGGUUCAAGGCCCUUCUCAUAUAGGAUGGAGGCGCAACGACAGGGGUUCAAAAUUCCCGGAGAUUGAUGUCUUUGCAGACGUUUAUGUUUGACCCGGGGAUGAGUUGCCCAAGUCCCUUCAUGUAAUUAAGUCUUUAGCUGUGAUUACUAUCUUAUGCAUUCAAGUAUCAUGGUUAUUAUUUCAAUGUUAUUAUUAAUAUUUCAUGUUAUA